CCCCCCCCCCCCCCCCCCCCCCCCCCCCCCCCCCCCCCCCCCCCCCCCCCCCCCCCCCCCCCAACUGGGCUGGGCUGAACUGAGCUGAGCUGAGCUGAGCUAAACUGGGCUGGGCUGGGCUGGGCUGGCACUGGGUACCAGGGGUGCUGGGGGCUGCAGGAUGAGCUGGCAAGGAAGGACAAACAGCCGCUGCUGAAGCCACACUGGUGCAGCUGCAGCAGGGGCUCUGCAGGCAAAUGCAGCUGAUGCAUUUCCCCGUGCAGGGUGAGGGUGAUAAUUUGUAUUUGGAUGAAGGACAGUGAACCCCUUUGGGCCCAGCCUGUCUGUGGCUGUGCAAGGGGGGCUGUGGGAACUGCCCCCCACUCCUGGGCGUGGCUGGGAGCACCCCUGACACCUCAUGGGGUGAUGAUGGAUAUUUCAUGAUGGAUAAAUGACAGAGCAGGGAUCACACCUCGCAUCAGAGCUCUGCCUCUAAACCCUUUUUGUGUCAGCAGUGGUGACACCUCAGCAGACCAUAACCUCAGCCAGACCCUGCUGAGGCCUGCUUGCCUGUCGUGCUGCCUUGGAGCUGCACAGCCCUGCUCCUCCCUGCCAGGGCCGUUCCUGAGGAAGGGACUCGGGACAGGGCUCGUGGCUCUGCUGUGAGUGUGCAGUAUCAGUGUGGCUGUGGCAGGCAGGCAGCACAGAGCUGCCAGCCAGCCCCCAGGCAUAAAUCAAUCCCCCCGGGGAUUUACCGGCUGCAGCUUACAGCCUUGGAAAGGGAAAGCUGUGCUCAAGCAUCAGAGCUGGGUUCCGCCUGGGGAGAUAAGCACAGGGGACGAGGGAGGGACACAGCCCUGGCAGUGCCCUCUCUCCCCGGACAAUAUUCCUGGGAUUCCAGGGAUGAGGAAUCGGGAUCAGGAUUGCCUGCCCAGCCCCCAGGGCAGCUCCUUUAGCCCUGAAGGGCUCUGUGGGCUGAGUUCUGGUCCCUCAGGGUUCUGGUGCUCAGGGUCCUGGUCCCUCAGGGUUCUGGUCCCUCAGGGUCCUGGUCCCUCAGGGUCGUGGUCCCUCAGGGUCCUGGUCCCUCAGGGUUCUGGUCCCUCAGGGUUCUGGUCCCUCAGGGUCCUGGUACCUCAGGGUUCUGGUCCCUCAGGGUUCUGGUGCUCAGGGUCCUGGUGCUGUGGUUCUGAGCAGGUCCUGCAGGGCUGUUCACUCCCAGAGUGUCCCUGCCCAGAGCCCCCACCCCACAGGUGCCCCUGGCAGUGCUGCUGCCUUUGCCUGGUGGCCUGGCAGCUUUGGGGGGCUGGGGGAUGCUCUGUUUGUGCUGAGCCAGGAGCCUGCCAGCAGGCUGGGAUCAGUCUGGGGAUGUCCCCCAGAGCUCUGGGGUGUCCUGGGGAGCUGCAAGUCUCAUUUCCUAGCGCUGGCAGCAGCUCUGCUCCCAGCUCCAGGCUGGAGUGCGGGGCCGCAGGGAGGCCGAGGUGAGGCCUGUUUGAGCUGUCACCGGGCAACAGCCAAACACUGCUUCGGGCAGGAACUGUAGAACAGCUCAGCGUCAGGGUGACGGGGCAGGGGGAAGGGGAGCUGCCGCUGCCCCAGGGAGCCCCAUAAAACCCUCAGUGAAACCCUCUCUGCAAGCCAAGCUGUGCAGCGCAGCUCGGAGCAACCAGCAAACUGUGCCAGCUGGGCCACAGCGGCACUGGGGCGGUCACCUCUGUUAUAAAUGAGAAAUAAAGUCUCGAUAUUCAGCAAAAUUUAGAUCGGUUUAUUGUAUACAGGCAGAACAAGCAGCGCUGGGGAAACGUGAGGGGUCACAGCCCACUCCAACGCUUCCAACUUGGUUUGCAGCUCCCUUUUUAUAGUCUGGUUUUCCUUGUAGUAAUCAAUAAUUGUUAUUGUUUUGUUGUAGUAAUUCUGCUAGGUAAGCAGAGUUGGUCAAAGAAACUUCCAAACUUCAGCGCUGGGGAAACGUGAGGGGUCACAGCCCACUCCAACGCUUCCAACUUGGUUUGCAGCUCCCUUUUUAUAGUCUGGUUUUCCUUGUAGUAAUCAAUAAUUGUUAUUGUUUUGUUGUAGUAAUUCUGCUAGGUAAGCAGAGUUGGUCAAAGAAACUUCCAAACUUUGUGGGACAGCUCUUGGGACAAUUGGUCAUGUAACCAUCUGGUCUUGGUAGAUAAAAAACAGAAGAAGAGGGAAGUCUGAUCUUUAGCAGAUAGUUUGUGAUUGAUCACUCCUGGCACAACCCCUCAGAGUCUCUGAGCAGCAAUCUGGGUCUCUGGCACCAAAGAAACUGCUAGGAUCUAGUCAGUGGUGUCUUAUUUUUGGGGUUGUCCUUGAAAUCCCUGGCAGAAGACAGAGAAAGCAGUGGGGCAGGCUUUGGGGCAGGCUUUAGGACAGGUCUUAGGGUAGGCUUUAGGGCAGGCUGUGGCUGGGUACCUGUCUGACCCAGCCCCACCACCAGGUCUCCAGGCUCAGUCUCUAAAAUGAAAGAUGGAGAUGGAGAGAUGGAGAUGAAUCAAGGGGUUUUGCAUAAAGCAGGACCUAAACUGGCACCUGAGCACUCAGCCAUCCUGCACCCUGUCCCUGUGGCAGGGCAGGACUCCGAGUGUUUGCUGCCCCCAGAUUCACUGGGAAAUGGCCAGAGCAGGGCAGGCUGUGUGAUAAACACAGAGCUUGUGAAUGAAGGCACUGCUCUGGCUCUGUGCUGGAGCUGGGACUGGCUCCCAGGCAGAUGGGCUGCAGCAUUAGGUGGGAUGGGAGGGAUGGGGCUGUGUCUGACAGGCAGCAUGAGGUCACUCUCUGAGUCCCCUCUGGGUGAGAUAUAUCAACAGGCUGCCUUUGCCUUGGAUAGAGUCAUUCAUUUUUUCAAAUCUGCUUGUGCUGCUUCCCCUUCCCUCUUAACCCUUUCUCAGCCUUUGCCUUUCCUCAUUGUUUCAGCCAUAGAUGACAAAAAAAGUGUGAACUACAUCAAAUAAUGACAUUUAACAUAGAGUCACCUGUUUCUUUCAGUGGCCAACACACUCUAGGAUCACACACUGGCGUCCCCUGCAGCCAGCUCCCACAGCCAUCUCUAUAAAUCCAUAAAACAUAAAUAAUUCUCCUUCAUUACCUGCCUUAUCCCCUUGGACUGUGAGCCAUGUAGGUCUUACAGAGGGAUUAAAUCUGCAGUGGGAUGCUGAGGAUUCAGAAGAAAAGGUGGCAUUUAGGGCACAUUUCAGCACAGCUGCUGGAAGAGCUGUGAGCCAAGGCUGACGUGCCCACAGCACACAGACUGCCCUGGCUCCAGGUUCUAUUCCCAUGAGCCACAAUGACAGAAAGGUGACAGGAAGGGUCUGGGCACUGACCACAGGCACUGCGGAUUUAUUCUGUGACUGCACAGAGCCUGCACCUCCCCUGCUCUGCCUUUCCUGCCUGUGGUUAAGGAGAGAGCAAGAGAAGGAGAAAGGAAAUGAGCACAACAGAGAACUUGACAUAAAAGUGUUUUAUAUCAUCUCCUAUAAAACAAGCCAUAAAUCCCUGCCCUCCUGCUCCACCCCUCCACAUGGUUUUCAUUUUAGAGGCUGGCUGGAGAGCAGGGAAGUGGAGGGUACAAAGAACAUACUCUUGGUGGGAGAGGUUCCCCUUCCCUGCAGGUUCCUACUCACACCUUGUCCCUGUGCCUGCAGCACAGCAUCCUGCUCUGCUGAGUGACCACAGCCUGGAGCAAGGCACAUCUGGCAGCAUCUGGAAACAUCUGGCUGCCCUUGCCCAGCUCCAGGGGGGAGCACUCAGGGCACUGGAUGUGGCUGGGGAAGCUCCUCAGCACCAGGAGAAAGGGAAAGGACUGGGCUUUGAAAGAUCCUUGUGCUCAGAUUUGGUGCCAAAAGAAAUCCUGAGCUGUUUCAGGGCAUUGCAGCUCAUUCUGGACUUCCUGGGGGAGCUGAGGAGAUUUCUGGAAGGGUCUGGUGACUGGCAGUGUCAGAUCCAUAGAAAAGGAGGCAGUGCCCAUCAAGCUGGAACAACAGGACACACAGUCCUUGAGGGGUUUAUUGCCUUGCUGGCUCAUUGCUCCUGUACCCAUUUGUGAUCUUACAGAGCAUAUUUAAAUGAAAAUCCUCUUCCAAUGAAUAAAAAACAAAUCCAAGGGAAAAUAUGUUCAAAUUGUAGCAGCUAUUGCUUUUGUUUCUAUAAAACUUAAUUCUCACCUUGGGCUGUUAGAGCAGAUUGUUUUGAGGCUUAUAAAACUUAAUUCUCACCUUGGGCUGUUAGCGCAGACUGUUUUGAGGCCGUGGUGGACAGAUUUACUGGGAGGAAUCUGGAGGUCAGGCAGAGUUUUGAUGUUGCAGUGAGAGCCUUGGUUAGAGCAGAUUGUUUUGAGGCUGUGGUGGACAGAUUUACUGGGAGGAAUCUGGAGGUGAGGCAGAGCUUUGAUGUUGCAGUGAGAGCCUGAGUGAUUGCAGGGAGUCUGCACAGACCCCAUGGAGAGCCUGAAGGUCCUGGAAGGACCCAGUGAGCCCUGCACAGAGAGGAAAAUGCCUGGUUACAACCUCGUUACUUAAUUCUGGAGUGGGGACAGCAAAGAUCAAGACACAGGAAAGGCUGGGAAGGAUUGUUUAAAGCUAAGCUAAUGACAGUAAAAAAGCACAUGUGGAAGGUAAUAAAAGUGAUGGGAUGGGCUGCCAUUUCACUGAGCACUUUAUGCUGAUGUUAGCUAAUAAAACAGCAGAGCUUUGGUAACUGAGCUCCUCUGUGCAUUCCGCCCUCCCUUCAGUUAUUUAAUUCCUCUUCAAAAAUAUUCAAUCCUUAUUUUUAAGGGCAAGAUUGCAUCAAGUGAUUAUCUGCAAACCCAAGGAGGUGAGAGGUAUUGUUGAGAUGAAGGAUAUUUCAUCCUUGCAGGUAUUUUGUCAGUUAAACUGCAGAGGAACAUGGAAAACAGAUAUUCAGGAUGCUGAGAAUGUUCCCACCAUGUUUCUGCUGUAAUUACAGCUGGGGGAUGGCAAGAGCACGUAGGUGAUGCAGCUGUCACCAUGAUACAGGGUUUAAAUUGGGUUUAAAUUGGGAGCAACUCUCAUUCUGCUACAUAAAAAUAUUCUGUUCACUUGCAUUCUAGCAUUGUCCUUAG
Molecule: long non-coding RNA, 5077 nt
Organism: Ficedula albicollis (Collared flycatcher)
Lineage: Eukaryota; Metazoa; Chordata; Aves; Passeriformes; Muscicapidae
Source: Ensembl